Molecule: long non-coding RNA, 1045 nt
Organism: Suricata suricatta (meerkat)
Lineage: Eukaryota; Metazoa; Chordata; Mammalia; Carnivora; Herpestidae
Exons: 4
Source: RefSeq, a predicted model, not a curated record
CCUUGGCCUUUUCACAGCAUGCUCCUCAUGAACUGGUCCCUUUUUGAAUAUUGAGCCCUCACCAGCUUCAUCUCUAAUUGCACUUAGCAUUUUACACUUGCUCCAUGUGAUCCCUCCCAGCCCUGGGCUUUCUGGGCCAGCGGGUCACUGCUGGCUGCUGUCGGACAAACACCUCGAACUGCACAGGUCCAGGGGACACCUGGGCCUGCCCACGUACUGUGGUCCCUCAUGGGGAAGUCAGCUCUCUUUCCUCACAGGAGACUGUUGGCAGUCCUGUAAAUUCUAAGACACAUGGCAGGCCAGCCCACUUCCUGUCACCUCUGCUGCUGCCAUUCCAGGCGUGCCAUCACCCUGGCAUCUGCCCCAGCCCUGACCCCACACGGCAGCCUGAGAGAGAGAGCUUUUAAAAUUAAAUCGGAUUAUGUCCCUCCCCUGCAGAAAACUUGCCUGGGCCUUCCAGUGGCACUCGGACUGAAUUCGAGCUUGCUCUCACAGGGUGACCAUAUUCUCUGCCGUCGGGAUCCCAUCCCACCGCCAUUCUCCACUCAUUCCCUCUGCUCCAGGCGUUGGUGCACUCUCCUAGGCCUCAGACCUCCCAGGUUUCUCCAACCUUCACAUGAGCACCAAGCCUUCUAACAGCCUGCAGAGCAACCCUGGCCACCCCUGUGUGCAGAUGAGCAAACUGAGGCUCCAAAGGAGAGAUCACCUGCCCGAGACAAUCCAAAGGGCAGAGCUGGUAGUUAGCCCAGGUUGAACCAAGGGCUGCGGACCCUCAGACUCACUUAAGCCAGUAGUCAUUCUACCAUAGCCCCCAUGCUUCAUCUCCAAAAUGCUCUUCUGAAUCCGAGGCCCCAAAAGAACCAGGACUGUGAGUGUCAGUGGGCACAGGCCAAGGAAGUACCCAGAGCCAUGCCAGUCCUCCAGCCUGCUCCUCCAGAAGCGAAGAGGCCUUCUAAAGAGGCAUGACAGAGCCAGGGCGCCUGGGUGACUCAGUCGGUUGAGCAUCUGGCUUUGGCUAAGGUCAUGAUCUCACUGUGUGGGUUCG